Loxodonta africana (African savanna elephant) is the source of this 42179-nucleotide long non-coding RNA. RefSeq lists it as uncharacterized. The transcript is spliced from 2 exons. The record is from RefSeq and is a predicted model, not a curated record. NCBI's taxonomy places the organism in Eukaryota, Metazoa, Chordata, Mammalia, Proboscidea, Elephantidae.
GUGACGGCCGCGCCCCGCUAGCUUCCCUUCAGGGACUGAAGAACGCUGCUACCUCCGAACGGUUGGCUCUUCGAUCCUGGCCAGGUCCAAAGGUUAAUGGUCCUCGGGCAACCCGAAGGCUAAAUGUGUGUGUGCGUGUGUGCGGGCACGCACCCACGCCUGCAUGUGUUCGUAGGAGCAAGAAUCAACAGAUCAAGACAUUUGCUGUCCCUGACUCCUGGGGUUUAUAUUCUAGUCUAGUGGUUCCCUUAAUUUAUUUUACUCAAUAAUUCUGUAAGGCAGGUAUUCAUUAUCUCUAUUUUAUGUCCCCAUUUUACAGUUUUGGAAUCUGAGGUUACAGGCUUUUAAGUAAUUUGCUCAAGAUCACAUAGCAGUAAGUGAUAGAGUCAGGAUUUCAAAUUUCUGGUUUUUGGACUUUUUCCACUAAACUCCACUUUCACUAUAAAAAGGAAAAAAAGUGAGUUAUUAAAGACAAGCCUGCAAGAGUGGAAAGUGUUACUUUCAUCAUUCUUCAUAUGUCAACUUCCUUCCUCUACAUAAUUUUUAACGGGAAAAAGACCAAACUUUUAUGAGUCUUAUACAUUUUGUUCAAGAUCAUUUAAAAAAAAAAAAAAAUUUUUUUUUUUUAUGAAAGAGAGACAACUGAACAUUAUACCCUGAAAACUCUGAAAUUAUGAAAUCCCAUGGCUUAGGUAAAUGAAGAGUAAUACUGGGUUUCAGUAGAUGUGAUAAUCAGAAAAUCCCAUGGAACCUAUCCAACCUAUUCAAGAUAGAGUAAUACAGUGAGUGGAACUUUGAAUUUAAGUUACCCUUCGAAUCCCAAACUUGUGUGGGUCUGAAUCUAUGGCCAUAAGCUGGGGUUCUUGGGAACUCCUAGUUCAUAUGGAUUCUUUGUUUUCCUGUUUUUUUUUGCCUUUAGUGUAUCCUUUUUCUGCCUCCUUGCCUUUUCAGUUUCUGAGUACUUGUACAGAUCUUUCCUUGUCUUACUAGCUUUUACAGUGAAGUUUUUCAUAUACCUCUUCCCCCGUCCCCCCGCCAUACUUAUCCUCCCUUCUGAGACUAGAUGCUCUAAAGCAUCAUCCUUGCCAGGGGAAGGAGGUAUCGUAUUUCUCACUAAUGGCUGUUUAGAAGGUUUUUUUUAUUUUUCCCCUCCCUAGUUCUUAAAAAAAAAAAAAAUUUUUUUUUUUUUUUUAGUUCUACGUAAAAGUAUUUGCGUGUGGAGAAGCAGCAGAGAAAUAUUGCACUGUCUUAUGAAAAUAAACUGAUAAAAAACAAAUGUGCUGCUGUUGAGUCAAUUCCAAUGCAUGACGACCCCAUGUGUUACAGAGUAGAACUGCUCCAUAGGGUUUUUUGGCUGUAAUCUAUGGAGGCAGAUCACCAGGCCUUUCCUCUGCAGCACUGCUUGGUGGGUUCGAACCAUCAACCUUUAACUUAGUAGUCAAGUACAAACCCAAUUCCCAAUUAGAGAAGGUGCAGUAGAGAUAGAAAAACCAUAGGUAUUUACUUAAAGGGAAAGUAGGAGACACAUUGAAAUGUCAUCAAUGAGUUCUGUGCACUUGGACAUCAUUUCAGUACAUUAGAAUUCUGACGGAUAUGAAGUUGUGUGACUGAUAGAUUGAAGCUAUAUCUUCUAAUAGGAGUACCAGAAUUAGUUGCAUGGCCUUUUAAGCAGAGCAGUAAAUAGUAAAUUACCCUAUUUCUUAUUUCCAAAAAUACUUGAGGUCUGAUUCUGGGGUUGUAGGUCUAUUUUAGGAUGGUCCUGAAAACCCUAAAUUUAACUAGGUUAGUUUUGUCUUAGAGUUGGCCUGUAUUGAGAACUGACAUGCAAUAAUCUCAGUGUUGGGUUAGGAUUGCCUGAGAUUGUUGAAUAGAUUCACUCAAACCUCACCUCAAGCCUGGAUCCUCACUGCUUGGCCUGGGCCCAACCUCAAAUCUGUCCUCUGGGGAUGGAUGGUCUUUUUAUAUUUAUUUUGUUUUCAUAAUCUGUGAAUCAUCAUUUUUGAAAGAGAUUAAUACACAGGCAGUCCCUGGAUUACGAAUGAACACUGUUCCUAAGUCUGUCUUUAAGUCAACUUUGUACCUAAGUCAGAACGGUUAGGUAUGAUUCAUAUCUAACAUCAGUUAGUCAAAUGUUUGUCUUAGUGUAUAUGUUUUUGUGUAUAAAAAGCAUUAAAGAAGUAUUUCCAGAUACACUAAAACAUCUUUUACGUAGUAUAGUAAUAAUAAGUUUUGACGUAUGUCACAAAGUAGUGCUUGUUAUUACGAACCAUUUUAUGCACUUGAAUUUUUAAUAUAAUAGGCUUUACGGGGAUUGGUUUGGAACUACAGAUUGUAUGUAUAUUGGAUGUUCAUAACCCGAGGCUGCCUGUACUUUUAUCUUGCCAAACACAGGAACAGAGAAACUGACCACCUUUUUUAGGAAAGUAGAUUUAGGCAGUCUUUUCAGCUUUAGCUCUGUCUCUUAAUUGUUAGAAAUUUAGUGUAACAUAGUUUAUUCCUUAGGGCCAACCUUGUAAUAGGAUCUGAACUGUGCGUAAACACAGGUUGUACCCUAAAUCUCAGACAGUUGUAAGACUGCUAGAAUGAAGACUCUGCUAUCCGAUUUGAUUGGGUUGCAUACACAAAGACACUUUGCAGAGAGUUGGCAAUUCAAAGCCGUUGUUAUUAUUUAUAGAAAGCAAACAGUAAACAGGAACAGAUUCGAGGUGAACUGGUCCCCUUUAUCCCCAUGAGUACCCUGCUUAGCAUGGUAAGAGGGGACCCACUUAUGUCUAAAAUGGAACCCGCUCACCCUUCCCAAAUUACCCAUGUCCAUAUCUGUGUCACUGGCUGGGCACGCUACGGAUCAGGUGUGAGCAGCUGUCUCUCUCUUAGCAGGUGUGUCCUCAGCUCAGAUCAGGUGUGGCAUUUGUGUUCAUUCUGUCUCUCUCUCUCUUCUCUCCACAGCUGGGUCUGGCUCCCUGUGCUUACUGUCCAGCUCUCAACCGGCAGCUUUAAGACAAACCUAGGCCGGCGCGAGGGUUAGACCGGCAUCAUGACAGCUCUUGAGGCAAAAUUGUUUUACAGGCAACCUCUGUAGGGUGUAUACCCAAGCCUCUGCGGGCAACCUCUGCCCCUCUGGACAAGACUCCCCUAGGCCCACCUCUGGAGAGGCUUCCUCUCAGCCCUCUCUGGACAGACCUCUCAGCCCCUCCAGGAUAGGCUUCCUCUUGGCCCUCAGGACUGGCCCCCUCUUUGCAUUAGGUGAGUCUGCUGCUGCCAAAGGCAGGCUAGGUCAGUCUCCACGCUGCUGCUUGCUUUGCUCUGGUAUCUGUCUCUAUAGGCCCAGACUGCAGCUGCUUCCCUAUAUGGGAUGCGCAGCUUCAUUGGCGACCACCUGCCCAGAAGUGCCAAAAUUUGUUGGCGACGUCCUGCCUAGAGGUGCCCAGGUCAGUUCCAUGGGCUGACUUGUCCAUCACCAUGUGCCGGUCUCAUGGUUCCAGCUGCUCCUACUGUUGCCCCAUUUAUCUGCUGCUGGGCUCUGCUGUGCUUACUUCCUUUUCUCUUGGUCUUCAGUGUUAUCAGCUCAGUGUUACAGCUCUUUUAUUUGGGUCUAGGAGGUUUUUAUUUAGGAGGUUUUCAGCACAGGGACCCCAAGUCCAAAGGACAUGUUCCUCUCCAGGCUCUUGUUGAUCAGGAAAUCCCCAAAGAACAUCUGUGAGAUUGGCCACUUACAUAGGAUAACUUGUCAAUUUAAGGCAUGGCUUUCAUAAACCAACCAAUCCCUUAGGCGGAUCAUAAACUGACCAAUCCUGUUGGGUGGAUUGCAAGCCACUUUUGUGGGUAGCAAACCAGCCAAUCCUUGCAAGCAGCUUAGGUGGCCAGCAAACUGACCAACCUUUGCAAGGUCAUUUAUGCAGAUAGCAAACCGACCAAUCCUUGCAAGCCACUUAUGCUGAUAGCAAACCAACUAGUUCUUUGGUAGAUUGUGGCCCAGCUAAAUAUUUUGGGAGAAUUGUAAACCCAGGGCCAGAAAGGCCACAUAAAAGAAACCCAUUGCAUUAUACAUGCUUGAGGUGCAAGCAUGAAUGAGAGGAACACACAGUCUAGCAGAGCAGACACCUAAACAUAAUUUCAAAACAGUAUGACAAAUUCUACAAUAGGAAUAAGAAUAGAGUGCAAUGGGAGCAUUGCCUGUGAGAAGCUAGAGCAUUUCGGCCAAAGGGAAUGAUUUGCAUAAGUUUGGAAGCUUGAGAACACAAGGUGGAUUAAGAAGAUACUGAGAAUUUCUGAGCAGCUCUAAUGUAAAGGCAUUGGUGGGGAGAUGAUAGGAGGUUGAGUCCAGAAGGUAUUUGGAGCCAUAGAUUAGGCCUGGAGGUGAAGAUCUACUGGAGUAUAGCACAGGAUUUGUUAGUUGAAUUUUUAUCAUUAGAUGAGAUACCCAGGGAGGGCUAAGAAUUUAAGUUUGGGAACACUAUGUGAGCAACCAAUGUUUUAUUUGAAACAUGAUCUCAGAGGAAAUAAAAUUGGGGAAGGUAUGAAUAUGUGAAGAACCAAAAGUUUAGAAAGUUAGUGGAUUUUUUGCCUUUCGUUAAUGUGUCCAAAUGUUUAUUGAGUACCCUCUGUGUGCCAGGCACUAUGCUAGGGAGUGGGGAUAAGAUGGUAAAUAAGGCAGAAAUUGAUCCAGAUCCCAGAUAUCAUUUCAUUUGUGAACAUUUCAGUGUGUAUCACUAAAAGUUAAGGUUUUUUUUCUUUUUUAAAAUGUUAUCACAAUAUCACAUUAUUGCAGCUUGUUAUUGCUCUUGUUCGUUGCCAUUGAGUUGAUUUUGACUCAUGACGACCCCAUGUGUACAGAAUAGAACUGCGGCAUAGGGUUUUCAAGGCUGUGACCUUUCGGAAGCACAUUGCCAAGCCUGUCUUCCAAAGUACCUAUGGGUGGGAUUGAACAGCCAACCUUUUGAUUAGUAGUCAAGUGUUUAACCAUUUGCGCCACCCAGGGACUCCUCGUUACAGUCAAAUACUGAUAAACCCAAAACCAGGUCCAUUGCCAUUGAGUCGAUUCUGACUCAGAGAGACCCAAGAGGACAGAGUAGAACUGCCCUACAGGGUUUCUAAGGCCGUCAUCCUUACGGGAGCAAACUGCCACAUCUUUCUCAUGUGGAGUGCCACCAGAGUUCCUCUACUGCUGCUCCUACUAAUGUACUAAUAUCAGUGGCUCCUCGGAAGACAGGCCUGGUAAUCUGAAUUGACUUGACGGCAACUAACAACAACAAAUAUCAAAUAUCCAGUCGGUGUUCAGUUUUCUUGAUUGUCUGAAAUGUCUGCUCUUCUUCCCCAACAUUGGCUUAUUUCAGUCAGGAUUCCAGACAAGAUCCGCACAUAAAAUUCAUGAGCCUCUUUUAAUCUAUAGGUCCACCUUCUCUUUUUUUUUCUUUGCCUUUUUUUUGUUGAAGAAACCAGAUAGUUCUUGUGUAUUAAUUUUCCGUAGUCUGGAUUUUGCCGCUGGCAUCCUUUUGUUAUAUUUAAGCAUAUUCCUUUGCCUUCUAUAUUUCCUAUAAACUGAUGAUUAGAGCUAGAAGCUUUUAUAAGAUCAGGGCUUUUGUGGGAGAGGGGCAAGAAUACUUCAUAGGGAGAGUGUGUACUUACUGUUGUAUCACAUCAAGAGGCACAUGAUGUCUAAUUGUCUCUCUGUGAUGUUAAAGUUGAUCAGUGUGUUCAGGUAAUAUUGGUAGAACCUAGUGAUUGAUUGGAUGUCAGUGGAGUCGGGGGAGGAAGAAUCUAAUCACACCCAAGUUUUUGGUUUGAGCUAGAUGAAUGAUAAUAGGGAAGAUGGGAAGUUCAGGUUGAGGUGAAAGGUGGUAUGCUUUGGGUCAUGUUGAAACUGAGGUAAAGAUGUCUUAUAAGCUGUUGAAUAUAUGGGCAUGAAGUUGAGGACAAAAAUCUGUGUGGCAAAUAAAUAUGAGCUUCAUAUAUAUGGAGAAUUGAGAUAAUGAGUGAGAAGGGUAGAAAGCCUUGGGGUAGGACUCUGAGCAAAUACCACCGAAUUAGUUAUCCAUUGCUGUGUAACACAUUACACCAAAACUUAGCUACUUAAAACAACAAACAUAUAUUAUUUCAUAGUUUCUUUGGGUCAGGAUUUGGGUGUGAUUUAGCUGAUGGCUCUGGCUCAAGGUCUCUCAUGAGGUUGCAGUCAUCUGAAAGGCUUGAGUGGAUCUGGAGGAUCCACUUCCAAAAUGACACACCCACACACUGUUGGUAGAAAAUCUGAGUUCUUUGCUGGCUGUUGGAAGGUGGCCUAAUUUCCUGACCAGGUAGUCUUGCCAAUGGGCUGCUUGAGUGUCAUCACAAUAUGGCAACAGGCUUCACCCAGAGCAAGUGAUUCAAGUGAGAGGAAGGAGGAAGCUGCAAUGCCUUUUAUGACCUAGUCUCAGAAGCCACAUACCACCACUUCUGCCUUAUUUUAUUCAUUAGUCCCUAAGUCCAGCUCAUGCUAAUAGGGACGGGAAUUAGGCUUUACCUUUUUAAAGGAGUGUCCAAAGAAUUUGUGGACAGAUUUUAAAUCACCACAAUUGCAUUUAAGGGUUAAGCAGAGGGAAAAGCCUGCAUAGGAGAAUAAACAGAGAGAGAGAAUAGAAAAACCAAAUGAAUGUGGCAAUCAUGGAAGUCAAGGAGGGAAUAGUGAGUUGCCUUGAAUACUGCUGAGAGAAUUGAAUAGAUGAAGCCUAAAAAGUAUCCAUUGGAUUGAUCAGUUUGGUGCCUGUCUUAGUUAUCUAGUGCUGCUAUAACAGAAAUACCGCAAGUAGAUGACAUCAACAAACAGAAUUUUAUUCUCUCAGAGCCUAGCAGGCUAGGAGUCCGAUUUCAGGGUGCCAGCUCCAGGGGAAGGCUUUCUCUGUUGGCUCUGAGGGAAGGUCCUUGUCAUCAGUCUUCCCUGGUUGAGGAGCCCUCACCACAGGGACCCUGGGUCUAGAGAACACACUAUUCUCCUGGCUCUUGAUUCUUGGUGGUAUGAGGUCCCCAUGUCUCUCUGCUCACUUCUCUCUUUUAUAUCUCAAAAGAGAUUGAGUUAAGACACAGCCUAAUCUUGUAGAUUGAGCUCUGUCUCAUUAACAUCAUUGAGGUAGGAUUUAUAACACAGAGGAAAAUCACAUCAGGUGACAAAAUGGUGGACAAUCACACAAUACUGGGAAUUAUGGCCUGGCCAAGUUAAUACACAUUUUUUGGGACACAGUCCACAGUAAUGCCCUUAUGUUGGCACUUUGAUCAUUGAUGCCCUUAUUGAGAGCAGUUUCUAUGGGGUGGUGGGUGUGGAAGUCAUACUGGAGCAACUUGAAGAGUAAACAGGAGGUAAGAAGUAGAGGAAGUGAGUGUAGAUUGCUAAAGAUAUUUGGUUAUGAAAGGGACAGAGAGAGGGAUAUGGAGUUGAAGGGAAGGACUUAUAAGACAGGAUAUGCUUAAAUGUCCUAGGGAGGGAAGCAAUGUUAAAAAGUGAGGGUAGAGUCUGGAGUUAAGGAGUGUAGUAAUCGUUUAGAACAAUGGCUUCAGAACUGGAAAAAAGAAUAACUAGAAGGCAAGUUAAAGGUUAUAUUGUGUGAGGAACUAGUUGAGUUUAUAAAUCAUGGUUUAGUCCUGAUCCAAGAAUGUUUAACCUUUUUUGUUGAGUAUUUUUUUGGUAACAUUUUGGAGAAAAGGUUAGAAACAGUGAAGCGGUAAGUUACGUGGGCCACUCAAGGUAUUCUUUGUAAAAGGAGUCAUUAGAAAAAUCAAGUUUUUUGCUGUUACACACUAACAGGAAGAGACUUACAAUGACUUUGCAUUUCAGAAGCACUGCUAGUCAAAACAAAACCAUUUAAGUGUUAUUUGGCAGUCUUUUAACGGUGUCAGGAAGAUGAUAAAAAAUCUGCCAUCUAAAAUUCUGGGAUUUUAGUUGUUUUUUUCCUGUGUCUGAACAGCUGAAUUACCUACCAAGUUCAGGUGACCCCAGAUGUCACAAAAUUCCACAGAAGGGUUAGACAACAAGCUGUUUGGGGCUCUCUGGUGCGUGUGCGCGCGCUAACCUCAGUGAAAUCACUUUAACCUCAGACUGAGCUCUGCAUCCUCUCGUGCCUUCAGUGGGGUUGCUGGCCCACCUGAGUAAUUCAGGUCUGGAUGCAGUUGUGUAUCGAGUCCCUGGCUGGUUUUGUUUCUUUGUUUAUUGGCUGCAUGGACACGGGGCAAAUGAAAGUGGGGUGUGUGGAGUUAGCUAAUAGAUUCGGUUCAAACAGAAUGAAGCGGGAAUACAAGCCAGUGAGUUCUUUUUUUCCUUCUUGAGCAGGAAUUUUUGGCUUACGUUCAGAUAAUUGCUCUGUCUCUAGGACAACAGGCAGAAAAUCUAUUGCGUGAGUGAUGUGAGUUCUUGUGAAGCUACUUGUGUUCUUCCAGCCUUCACUUUACAGCAGAAUUGAAGAUAUGGGGGGCUUGGUGGGCAUGGGUGGCUUCCCCACCCAUGACUUGGUGGAUUUUAGCUUUUUGAGGAACUUAACUAUAUGUAUUUUUCUUGCAAAGAUGUAAAAGAGGCAGUCUGAGAUUCUCCUAAAAAUGAGAUUCAGCACUAUCUCAUCAAACAAUUAAAAGUGAAUUUAUACUUUUCUAGAUAAACUAGAAAAGUAUCAAUUUAUCAACUGUGAUUUUUUGGAAAAAGUUAGGUUUAUAUGUACAUUUUAAUAGUCCAAAUCUAAUCAAGUAACUUUAGAACUGUAAAAGGAACAAUAAGAACAAAAAAUGCAGCUAAUUUAAAUGCCCUGAAAAGAAAACUAAGUAUAAUCAGUGGGAAGAAAUAUUGUAUCUUUCACUGUCCUUGAAUACCUAGCUAGUGUUCCAUUUCUCCCUUUUCUCAAACUCCUGAGCCUUGUUCAUAUAAUUCUUUUGAGUAUUUAAUAAUUUCACAUCUGUUAUAACUAACUAAUCUUGUCUCUAGUACAUUCUUUAUCUGUAUAACAAGCUUGUAAACUCCUUGUAUGUGACACAUUGUUUUCAUAGUGAAUGGUCCGAGACCCUUCAAACUAGGCUUAGAGGUGAGGUGUAGAAGUUUUGUGGAGUAUACUAAUAACAAAUAUGCACAUCUUCAUGGUUUAUGUAAAACCUUAUUGAGCUUAUUAAUAAUAGUGGUUCUUGUUUAAUCACCUAGAACCUGUAGAACUGUAUAGGAUCUUUGCUUACUGUGUUACAUCAGACAAGCAGUCAGUUCUUGCUGAUCUUGCAAGCAAUUUUGUUAACGGUAAUAAUUUGAGUUGCCCAAAUGAUUAAGUGCUUGACUACUAGCUGAAAGGUUGGCAGUUCAGGCUCACCCAGAGGCACAUCGGAAGACAGGCCUGGUGAUGUGCUUCUGAAAGGUCACAGCCUUGAAAACUCUACGGAGCAGUUCUACUCUGCACACUCGGGGUUGCCCUCAGUCAGAAUUGACUCAAUGGCAACUAACAACAACAAUAAUAAUUUAGGGAAAGACAGCAAGUUGAAUUGUUCUUUAUUAUGUCACUCUCAUAUGUGGCAACUGUCAUAGGAUUAGAUUUCCAAAUAGUUACAUAAUCCCAACCCAAACUAUAACAGUGCACAAGUGAUUUAAAGAUGGAAUUCCUUGUACUGUAUGAAGAGAAAAAAUCCCAAGCAAAUGGCCAGUCCAAUCAGUUGCUUUCCUUCUAAAGGAGUAUCUUCUUAGACUAGUUUGAACUGCCUUAAAAAAAUUAAAAAAAAAUUUUUUUUUAAUAGGUAUUCAUAAUAAAAUUUUUUUUUCAUUACAUGACAAUGUUAAAAUCAUUAUGAAGGCUAAUUUUCUAUUUGAUCUUAUUCAGGUUAACCCCCCCUACUAAGGUUGUCCACUAAUCUCAUUUCUUGUACCUUAUUUUAGCAGUAUUGUUAUAGUAUGAUCAGUGAAAUCAAUUUAUUUUACCUGUAAAAUACUGGGUGAAUAUUUGCUCUGUCACUCUGACAGCUGUCUCUACAAUCUCCCCUCUCCUUUCCUCCAUCACUCAUAAGAGAUGCCAUGCUUCCCAGAGAUAAUGGAGUCUAUUUGGUUUUUUUUUUUAUUUGGUAGGCACCCUCAACUCCUUGUACCCUCACCUCACCUAUUUACCGAAUUUCCUCUCCUGCACUCUUCCCCUCUCUUAAUAGAAGAGGUAGUCCCUCUGUGUUCUGGACUGCAUCUGCUCACAGUAAUUUACUUGCCAUAUAAUUAACACAUUUGAAGUGUACAAUUCAGUGGUUUUUAGUAUAUUCACAGAAUUGUGCAACCAUUACCACAGUCAAUUUUAGAAAAUUUUCAUUACCUUGAAAAGAAACUCUGUACCCAUUAGCAGUCACUCCCCAUUUCUCCCCAGUACUCCAUCUCCAACCCUAUGCAACCACUAAUCCACUUUCUGUCCCUAUAGAUUUACCUAUUUUGAAUAUUUCAUAUAAAUGGAUUCAUAUUGUAAUAUGUGUUUUUUUUUGUGUCUAGCUUCUUUCACUUAACAAAGUUUUCAAGCUUCAUCUCUGUUGCAGCUCAUUCACUACUUCAUUCUUUUAUAUUGCCAAAUAUUUCAUUUUAUGCCUAUUCCACAUUUCAUCUGUUCAGUCAUCAGUUGAUGGAUGUUUGGGUUGUUUCCACUUUUUGGCUGUUAUGAAUAUUGCUGCUAUGAGCAUUUGUACGUUUUUGUAUGGACAUAUAUUCUCAUUUCUCUUGGGUAUGUACCUAGGAAUGGAACUGCUGGGUCAUAGGGUGGCGCAAAUGGUUAAGUGUUCAAAUUACUAAUCAAAGUUAGUGGUUUGAACCCAGCCAGAGGCACUGCAGAGGAUGAAAGCUGGCACUCUGCUUCUGAAAGGUCACAGCCUUGAAAACUGUAUGGAACACAGUUGUACUCUGCAACACAUGGGGUUGCCAUGACUUGGAAUGAACUUGAAGGCAACUAUUUUUUUUUUUAAUUCUACUUUAGAUGAAGGUUUACAGAACAGACUAGCUUCUCAUUAAACAAUUAGUGCACAUAUUGUUUUGUGACAUUGGUUGCCAGCCCCUUGUCAACGCUCUUCCCUUCUCGACCUUGAGUUCCAUAUUACCAGCUUCCCUGUCCCCUCCUGCCUUCUCAUCCUUGCCCCUGGGCCGGUGUGCCCAUUUAAUCUCAUUUUAUGGGCCUCUCUAAUCUUUGGCUGAAUGGUGGACCUCAGGAGUGACUUUAUUACUGAGCUGAAAGUAUCUGGAGGCCAUACUCGUGGGGUUUCUUUAGUCUCUGGCAGACCGAUGAGUCUGUUUUUUUUUUUUUUUGUUGAGUUAGAAUUUCAUUCUACAUUUUUCUCCAGCUCUGUCUGGGACCCUCUGUUGUGAUCCCUGUCAGAGCAGUGUUGGCCGGGCGCCAUAUAGUUGUGCUGAACUCAGUCUGGCUGAGGUUGUGGUAGUGGUGAUCCAUUAGUCUUUUGAACUAAUCUUUCCCUUGUGUCUUUAGUUUUCUUCAUUCUCCUUUGCUCCACAUGGAGUGAGACCAGUGGAGUAUCUUAGAUGGCCGCUCACAAGCUUUUAAGACCCCAGAUGCUCCUCACCAAAGUAGAAUGUAGAAUAUUUCUUUAUAAACUGUGUUACACCAAUUGGGCUAGAUGUUGCCUGAGAUCAUGGUCCCUACAGCCCUCAGCCCAGCAAUUAGGUCCCUCAGGGAGUUUGGAUGUGUCUAUGGAGCUUCCUUGACCUGAAGGCAACUUUUUUUUUUUUUUUUUAAUGUAACUCUGUGUUUAACCACUUGUGAAACUGCCAGACUGUUUCUUAAAGCAGCUGCGCUAUUUUACAUUCCUGCUAACAGUGUAUGAGGUCUCCAAUUUCUCUACAUCCCCCUCAACACUUGUUAUUAUCUGUCCUUUUGAUUAUAGCUGUCCUAGUGGAUGAGAAACAGCAUUUUAUUGUGGUUUUUAUUUUUAUUUCCCUGAUGGCUAUCGAUGUUCAACAACUUUUCAUGUGCUUAUUGGCUAUUUGUGUAUUUCCUUUGGAGAAAUACUUAAUCAGAAACCGACCUUUUAAAAAUUGGAUUAUUUGUCUUUUUAUUGUUGAGUUGUAAGGGUUCUUUGUCUAUUCUAGAUAUUAGACCUUUAUCAGAUACAUGGUUUGCAAAUAUAUAUAUAUAUAUUUAUUUUUUCUGUAUACUACUGGAUUGUUUUUUCACAUUCUUGAUGGUGUCACUUGAAGCAUAAACAUUUUUAAUUUUGGUGAUGCCCAGUUUAUCUUUUUUUGUUGUUGUUGUUGUUGCUUGUGCUUUUGUUAUCGUAUCUAAGAAACCAUUGCUUAAUCGAAAGUCACAAAGAUUUAUACUUAUGUUUUUUUCUAAGAGUUAUAUAGUGUUAGCUCUUAUAUUUAGAUCUUGGAUCCAUUUUUUACUUAAUUUUUGAAUACGGUGUGAGGUAGUGGUGCAACUUCAUUCUUUUGCAUGUGGGUAUAUCUAAUUGUCUCAGCACCAUUUGUUGAAAAAAGACUAUCCUUUCCCAAUUGUCUAAGCACCCUUGUUGAAAAUCAAUUGACCAUAAAUGUAAAGGCUUACUUCUGGACUCUCAAUUAUAUUCCAUUGAUCUAUAUGUCUUAUGCCAGUACACACUGUCUUGAUUACUGUUGUUGUUGUCGUUAGGUGCCGUUGAGUUGGCUCUUACUCAUGGCCGGUACUGCGCCAUCCUUAUAAUCGUUGUUAUGCUUGAGCCCAUUGUUGCAGCCACAGUGUCAGUACACCUUGUUGAGGGUCUUCCUCUUUCCCGCUGACCCUGUACUUUGUCAAGCAUGGUAUCCUUCUCCAGAGACUGAUCCCUCCUGACAACAUGUCCAAAGUAUGUAAGACGCAGUUUUGCCAUCCUAGCUUCUAAGGAGCAUUCUGGUUGUACUUCUUCCAAGACAGAUUUGUUUGUUCUUCUGGCAGUCCAUGGUAUAAUCAAUAUUCUUCGCUAACACCAUAAUUCAAAGGCAUCAAUUCUUCUUCGGUCUUCCUUAUUCAUUGUCCAGCUUUCACAUGCAUAUGAGGCAAUUGAAAAUACCAUGCCUUGGGUCAGGUGCACCUUAGUCUUCAAGGUGACAUCUUUGCUCUUCAACACUUUAAAGAGAUCCUUUGCAGCAGAUUUACCCAAUGCAAUGCAUCUUUUGAUUUCUUGACUGCUGCUUCCAUGGGUGUUGAUUGUGGAUCCAAGUAAAAUGAAAUCCUUGACAACUUCAGUCUUUUCUCUGUUUAUCAUGAUAUUGCUCAUUGGUCCAGUUGUGAGGAUUUUUGUUUUGGGUUAUGUUGAGGUGCAAUCCAUACUGAAGGCUGUGGUCUUUGAUCUUCAUUAGUAAGUGCUUCGAGUCCUCUUCACUUUCAGCAAGAAAGGUUCUGUCAUCUGCAUAACGCAGGUUGUUAAUGAGUCUUCCUUCAAUCCAGAUGCUCCAUUCUUCUUCAUAUAGUCCAGCUUCUCGGAUUAUUUGCUCAGCAUACAGAUUGAAUAGGUAUGGUGAAAGAAUACAACCCUGGUGCACACCUUUCCUGACUUUAAACCAUGCAGUAUCCCCUUGAUUACUGUAGCUUUGUGUUAAGUUUUGAAAUCAGAAAGUAUGAGUUCUCCAGGUUUAUUCUUUUUCAAAAUUAUUUUGGCUAUUCUGGGCCCCUUGAAUUUCCACAUGAAAUUUAGGGCCUACUGAAUCAUCUACAAAUAAACAUGCUCUUAUCUCUCCGAAGUUGAAAAAUGUAUCUUUAAUUCUUUCUCCCUGGAAAUGGCAUCCUAACCUCUCUUCUUCAAGAUAGGUAAAACUAUUGAAAGAGUGUUCUACGUUGUCUAUCCCUGUUCCUCUAUCUUGCAUUCACUACAACAGUUUUUUUUUUAAUCUCCACGUUCCACUGAAACUUCUGGCAAGCCUCCAGUGAUAGCUUUGUUGCUAAAACCAGUGGGUGUUUUUUCUCUCUUGAUCUUAAUGGAGCUGUCUGCAGCAUUUGAUGACAUUGAUUACUCUUUCUUUUAAAGCUUUAAAAUAAUAGUUUUAUUAUUUUUGAAGAGAUGACAACAUACUCUUAGCUUAAAAAAAUAUUUAAACAGUAGUGAAAGUUGUGCAGUAGAAAGGAGAAAAUAAAGGUCCAAUCUGAAAUUCCCACCAUCUGUUAGUAUUUUGGAAAACUGCUUUCUUAGCCACUUUUUAUGCUUAAAUACUCACACACACACACACACACACACACACACACACAUGCCUUACAUAAAUGGAUUGAUUUUAUACAUGAUAUUGUAUAACCAAAAAUCAUUAAAAUUUCCUGAUAAUUUGUUACACUAUUUUGUAUCGCAUUUCUUCCAGUGGCAAAGUGAAUAAAGUAAAACGUUUUUUCUUUAUCAUUACUUAAUGAGAUCUCUGUCAUCUGGCUUUGGAAGAUUGAAUCCUAUAUAGUUAGUGAUGCUAGAAUAGAAGGUACCAGUAAUGCUCAGUGGUGAAGACUAAUAUGGGGGCCCUUAUUCAGGAUUUCUUUUUUCUUCCAAGGAAGAUUUUAUUUAGCAAAAUUAUUUCUGUCAAGCAGAUAAGCAGAGUAACAUAUUUAAAGGAUUUAGUGAUGCCAAAUUCUUGAAUAACCUUACACGAGAUCGUUCUCUCUCUGUUCCAAAGCUUAGUGGCGUCUUCAAAAAAAAAAAAAAAAACCAAACCCAUUGCCAGCCCGAGUCCAACUCAUAACGACCCUAUAGGUCAGAGUAGAACUGCCCCAUAGGAUUUCCGAGGAGUGCCUGGUGUAUUCGAACUGCCGAUCAUUUGGUUAGCAGCUGUAGCACUUAACCACUUUGCCACUAGGGUUUCCAAUGGCAUCUUACUCAUAUAUAUAUAUAUAUAUAUAUAUAUAUAUAAUCAGGCAUGGAGUUUAUUAUUAUUUAUAUUUUAUUUUUGAUGAAAAUAUGCAUAGCAGAACCCCCACUCCAUUUCACAGUUUCUAGACAUAACGAUCAGUGACAUUAGUCACAUUCUUCACAUUCUUCACGUUGUGUCAACAUUCAUGUUGUUUCUGUUCUAUUUGUUUCAUUCCCAUUACCUUAAACUCCCUGUACCCCAACCUUCUCAUCUAUGCUUUAAAAGGACUCAAUACUCAAGGGUGAGAAUCUGUAGUUUAAAGCUAAACUAUUACUUAGUUUAAAGGUGACUUUAGGGGAUAGUUUCAAGGUUUGAAGAGUAACUCAGGGCCAUAGCCUUGGGGACUCCUCCAGCCUCAAUAGGUCCAGUAAAUCUGAAUUAUUUAAGAAUUUGAAGUUCUGUUCCACAUUUUUCUCCCCUUCUCUCGAGAUCUAUCUAUUGUGUCUCUGUUCAGAACGCCUGGUAUUGGUAGCCGGGCACUACCUUGCCCAGAAUUUUUGUCUUUGCUUUUCUUAGCCUGACUCUUGGCACUUGACUAGGUGCUGGAUUCAGAUUCAGCUAACUUCUAAUGAGUUUUGCAUCAGUUUUCUUUUUUUUAGUUUGGUAAUUCUGUUUUUUUAAUUUUUAUUUUGCUUUAAAUGAAAGUUUACAAAUCACGUCAGUCUCUCAUACAAAAAUUUAUAUACACCUUGCUAUAUACUCCUAGUUGCUCUCCCUGUAAUGAGACAGCACACUCCUUCUCUCCACUCUCUAUUUUUGUGUCCAUUCAGCCAGCUUCUGACGCCCUCUGCUCUCUUGUCUCCCCUCCAGACAGGAGCUGCCCAUAGUCUCAUGUGUUUACUUGAUCCAAGAAUCUCACUCCUCACCAGUAUCAUUUUCUAUCCCAAAGUCCAGUCCAAUCCCUGUCUGAAGAGUUGGCUUUAGGAAUGGUUCCUUUCUUGGGCUAACAGAAGUUUUGGGGACCGUGAUCUCUGGGGUCCUUCUAGUCUGAGUCAGCCCAUUAAGUCUGGUCUUUUUACAAGAAUUUGGGGUCUGCACCCCACUGCUCUCCUGCUUUCUCAGGGGUUCUCUGUUGUGUUCCCUGUCAGGGCAGUCAUCGGUUGUAGCCGAGCACCAUCUAGUUCUUCUGGUCUCAGGCUGAUGCAGUUUCUGAUUUAUGUGGCCCUUUCUGUCUCUUGGGCUCAUAAUUACCUUGUCUUUGGUGUUCUUCAUUCUCCUUUGGUGCAGGUGGGUUGAGACCAAUUGAUGCAUCUUAGAUGGCCACUUGCUAGCGUUUAAGACCCCAGACACCACUCUCCAAAGUGGGAUUGCAUCAGUUUUCUAUUACCACAUAACAAACCACCCUAAACUUAGUACGUGGUAGAAAACAGCAAUAAUCUUUGUUAUCUUCCAUGGUUCUGGGAGUAGUAUAGACUCAGCUGCGCAGUACUGUUUAAGUUCAGCAAGUCACAGAGGCCCACACAUGAAUGAGGAAAGGGGACGUAGACUCUACCUCUUGUUGGGGGAGUGGCAGGGUUCUGAAAGAACAUGUGGGAUGGGAAAUAUUGUCGUAGCCAUUUUUGGAAAAUACAAUCUUCCACAAACCUCUAUUAUACAUCAGUCACUGUUUUAGGUAUUUUCUAGACAUUGUCAAACAUAUCGUCUCAUUAAGCCUUACUGCCUCUCCUUUUUUUCCCCUGCUACCCCUGUAGUAUAUAAACCAUCAUCAUGUCUUACGUGGUCUGUUGAAAAAAACCUCAUAACUGUUCUCUGUUUCCAUUUUUGCUCACUAAAAUCCAUUUUCUACUAGCCACCCAACUGAGCUUUAAAAAAAAAAAAAGAAGAUUGUGUCACUCCCUUACAUAAAUUCCCUGGUGACUUUAGGAAAAAUCCAAACUCUUUACUGUGACUUACAGGGCAUUUGUGAUUGACUUCUGUUUCUGUAGUUCUCCCUUUGCUGUCCACUCUCCAUUCACUGUGGCUUUGUUCUAUUUCUGAAGCAUGGCAAACUUGUUCCUGCCUCAGGGCCUUUGCAUAAGUUUUCUGGCUCAUUGAACUAGUCUUAAUCCAGGUCAUAGCAUGGCUGAUUCCUUCUUGUCCUGCAGGUCUUCAUUCAGAUGUCACUGCUCGGAGAGGCUUUUUCAUAACAACCUAUCUGAAGCAGCUCUUACCCUCAGUCACUAUUGCAAUGAUUUUGUUUCCUUUUUUCAUGACAUUUAAGUAAGCGCCAUGAGAACAGAGACUGCAAUCACUGUUGUAGAUAUUUUUUACAUAUUGCCAAACAUAGUGUCUCAUUAAGCUUCACUGUCUCUCCCAUUUUUCCUUGCUGCCACUAUAGUAUAUAAACCACUAUCAUGUUCUCGCCUCCUAACUGUUCUCUCUGUUUCAGUUUUUGCUCGCAAAAAUCUGUUUUCUACUAGCUGCCCAAGUGAGCUUAAAAACAACAAAAAAGAUCAUGUUACCCACUUACACUGGCACUUAGUGGGUGCUCAAUAAAUAUUUAUGGAAUGAACAAUAUUGUGAAGUAGUUGAUAUUCCCUUCAUGUAAUUAAGAAAUUGAGACUUAAGAAGAUCACACAGUCCUACUUGUAUGAUCAAGUCUUAUAACUCCAAAUUGAAUGCUCUUUCUACCAUAGGAUUUUGGAUUAUGUUAGCAGUGAUUAAAAUGAUGAUAAACCCAAGUUAUUACUAGUCUGCUGAGAAGUGAUAAUCUAUCUCAUUAUCACAAUGAAAUGCACAUUUUUCUGCAUAGGCCUUUUUUUUUUUUAUCUUCAGCAAGCUUUAUUUUGCUUGAGUCAAGCAAAAGGAGUCAGCGGGGAUCUAAGCCUCUCCAAAAGACUGACUCGAAAAGGGAAGCAAGGCUAAGGCUUAUAUGCAUUCGGUGGAGACAAUAGAGUAAUGAAUAUUUAGUGGGCUUCUUUCAAGGGGUGGGUACUUCUCAGAAUGGCAAUGCAUGUUAAUUAGGUUGUGCGCGCAUCUGGAAUCCAAGAUGGAACCUGCUGAUGUUCAAGAUGGAGUCCUCUUGGCAGCCCUUGACAUCAUUUAUUAUGGGAUAUAGUGCAAGCGCGCUGAUCUUUGGCACUACAUCACCAUCUUCAGAGGGCUAAGGAAGGUUAAACAGCGGUCACACUUUGUUCUUCUGUGCAUGUGGGAGUCUGUAAAGAGGGAAGGGACUAGAAAAACACUAGGAAGGAAAUAGUAAUUCACUGGUUGUUUCAGCUAUAUCUCAUGUUGACAGGGUGUGGUUCCUGUUUACCCAACUUCUAGAUGGUACUCUUUUAACAACUUUUUUGUUCCGCCAGCACAGUUAACCCUAUCUGUCACAGUCCCCCCUGAGAGAUUUCAUACUCAUGAUUCUUUAUGAGGGUGUAGGGGUGGAGGUCUCUUCUUCUGUAACUUCUUCAAGCUGACACCGGGUUGUUGUGCAUAGGCCUUUUUAAAAGGUAAUGUAAACUGCAUUGAUUAAUCCUUAAAAAGUAAGGAAUCCCUUUAAAUCUAAGAUGUAAAAUAGGGACUUAACGUCAUCCCUACUGUAAUGCCAGGGAUAAACAAAGGGCUCUGCCACUCCUGUUCCAAUUUACUGAAAGCCUACUAGAAGGGCACGGGGGAGGGGGUGCAGAUACUAAGCCUUAGAAUGGGUUGAGUGAUGGGUUUUAUAUAUUCAUAUGGCAUGAGCACAGGAAGAUAGUGGCAACUUCUCAAAGAGAAUUCUACCUUGAAAUUUUAGUAACCCAGAAGGAAGAGUAAGUAUAAAUAUCUGAUAAGUAAUAUACAUGAUUAACCCACCGUUUUGUACUCUUUUUACCUCUUAACUUCUGCCUUCAUUUAUUUUUUUAGAAACCCAUAAAUUUUGAAGUAAAGUUUGACCUGAUAAAGAAGGAGUGUUUUUAAAUUUCCUUUUUUAGAAGUAUUUUUUUCGUGGUUGUAAAAGUAAAAUAUGUUUGUUGUAGAUCAUUAACUUCUUAAGCCUUUGAAAGUACCUUAAACCCUUUGGCAUAGCUAUUGAAUUUACGACUUACUUCCUUAUUCUGUCUCAUAAUUCUACUUUCUUUUAGCACCAACAUUUAGGAGAAAUUCUUUAAGAAAAUAAUUUCUUACACAAUUAUAUGGUUUCUUGUUCUGUUUGAAUUUAUAACAAUAUAUUUCCUGUCUUGAUAUUCACAUACUGUAUUUCAAGUGCCUUUUUUAGCUAAUCUAGUAACCAUUUUUAAAUUUCUUGCAAAAAUCUGUUUUGAGUUUGAACCCCAAGUUUGACAAGGAGGUUUUGGAACAUAGCCCCAUUCUAAAUUGAGACCUAUAGUAUGUGUCUUGGAACAAGGACUAAGAAUCCAAAAUUCCAUGGUUCUAGCUGUUGUUAUUGCUAACUAGACCAUUUAAUUUGUGUUAUCAUAUCUUCUUUAGAUUUUUCAAGUGGUCUUCUUGCUGCCUUUCUUUUUAAUGAAUUUCUUAUUAUUUUCAGCCUUGAGUCUUCCACAUAAGGAAAAUUGUCCUUGAGCAUUUUUGAUAAUUUUUUUUUUUUUUGAUAGAGAUGUGAAAUUGAGUGAUUAUAAUGGAUUAACUGGAAAAGUAGUUUAUCAUUUCAAAGUUUGGUGGGAGAAGUACUACUAUUCAUGGCCAAACCACCCAGAGUUUAGCACUCCCUCCAUCAUUUCCUUUAAUCAACUUCUGUGGAAAAACAACAGUUAUUUAGUCUUUUGGGCAGUAUUUCAGAACAAAACAAAAAUAGAAAAUCUGCAAUGAGGUCUAGCAUAUAUUAUUAAUUAUUAAUUGCUGUAAAUAAUUUAUAGAACUUAGGUUACUAUUUAGUAUUUAACAUUUAACUUCAGAAAGGAUGUAGCGACCCCAAAUCAUCAUGUCUGUGCUUAAAUGAACCGUGUGAAAAUGGUUCUCUCCACUGAUCUCUUGGCCUGAAAUUCUGAUUUGAAGAAUCAGAAAAAUUGUCCUUUUUAAGAAAUAGGGAAAGACCUGGGACUUACAACAUAAUAGAUUACUAAAUCAAAGUACAAGUCCAUAUCUUUCACCUGGAAUUCUGAAAUAUUUAAAGCUCUGAAUUCUACAAGUUUUUUUCUUAGAUUUAUGAUAUACGCAUUAGGAAGCAAAACCUGUCUUGAACCGAUGUGUGACUACUUAAAGCCUUUAUCACACUGCAGUUACUGAUGAAGAUCAAAGACUAUAGCCUUCAGUGUGGGUUACACCUCAAAAGAAAGAAAACAAAAAUCCUCACAGCUGAACCAAUAAGCAACAUCAUGAUAAACGGAGAAAAUAUUGAAGUCGUCAAGGAUUUCAUUUUAGUUGGAUCCACAAUCAAUGCCUAUGAAAGCAGCAGUCAGGAAAUCAAAAAACGUAUUGCCUUGGGCAUAUCUGCUGCAAAAGACUCCUUUAAGGUGUUGAAAAGCAAAGAUGUCACUUUGAGGACUAGUGGGCGCCUGAACUAAGCCAUAGGGUUUUCAGUCACGUCAUAUGCCUGCGAAAGCUGGACAGUGAAUAAGGAAGACUGAAGAUUUGGUGCUUUUGAAUUAUGGCGUUGGCGAAUAACCUGUCUUGGAAGCAGCAACCAGAGAGCUCCUUAGAAGCGAGGAUGGUAAGAUUUUGUCUCCUGUACUUUGUACAUGUUAUCAGGAGAGACCAGUCCCUGGAAAAGGACACCAUGCUUGGUAAGGUCAGUGAAAAAGAGGAAGACCUUCGAUGAGAUGAAUUGACAUAGUGGUUGCAACAAUGGAAUCAAAGAUAGCAAGGAUUGUGAGAGUGGCACAGGACCAGGCAGUGUUUUAUUCUGUUGUACCUAGUAUUGCUAUGAGUUGGAACCAGCUCAACAGCACCUAUCAACAACAAAAAUCACAUUUAGUUAAAUAUAUAUUGUACUGCAAAAAUGUUCAUACACUUAAUUACAAAAAUAAUAUGCUUGAUUACCCAGACCCUGCUGAAGGUAUGACAUGGUUUAUAUAUCAUACGUAUUACUUUCUAAAAUUGUGAAUUCCAAAACAUAUCCUACCUAAAGAUCUCGGAUAAUGGAUUGUGGACCUGUAUUUUUGAUCUUAGUGAUGUAGGUGUUUGUAUGCCAGAAAUAAUUCAGUCCCUUUGAGAGACUGCUGAGAGGCUUUACAGGGUGACAUUUACUUGUUCACAAGGAUUGCUGAUUUGACACUCAGCUUUGUCGCUCAGAAAACUUGUAAAGGAGACUUAAAUUAUCCAGUCUCAUAAAAAAAAAAAUUUUUUUUUUUACUUUUUUUUCCCUAUAGUGACUUUGGUAUAUGCAUGGUCUUUGGAGUCAGACAUGUGUUCAAAUCUUAUCUCUCCUGCUUACUAUCUGUGAGUCCACGGACAAGUUUCCUAAUCUUUCUGAGCCUUUGAUUCUUUAUUUAUAAAAUGCGUUUAAAAAAAAAUACCUAUAUCUUAAGAUCAUUGUGAGAAAUAAAAUAGUGUUUAAAGCACUAGUAUACUGUCUGGCAUAUAGUACCAAACCAACCCAAACCCACUGCUGUCAAGCUGAUUCCAACUCAUAGCGACCCUUAUAGGACAGAGUAGAACUGCCCCAUAGGGUUUCCAAGGCUGUAAAUUUAUUUAUUUAUUUAUUAACUUUUAUUGAGCUUCAAGUGAACGUUUACAAAUCAAGUCAGUCUGUCACAUAUAAGUUUAUAUACAUCUUACUCCUUACUCCCACUUGCUCUCCCCCUAAUGAGUCAGCCCUUCCAGUCUCUCCUUUCGUGACAAUUUUGCCAGCUUCCAACUCUCUCUAUCCUCCCAUCCCCCCUCCAGACAGGAGAUGCCAACACAAUCUCAAGUGUCCACCUGAUAUAAUUAGCUCACUCUUCUUCAGCAUCUCUCUCCUACCCACUGUCCAGUCCCUGUCAUGAGUUGUCUUCGGGAAUGGUUCCUCUCCUGGGCCAACAAAAGGUUUGGGGACCAUGCCCGCUGGGAUUCCUCUAGUCACAGUCAGACCAUUAAGUAUGGUCUUUUUAUGAGAAUUUGGGGUCUGCAUCCCACUGUUCUCCUGCUCCCUCAGGGGUUCUCUGUUGUGCUCCCUGUCAGGGCAGUCAUCGAUUGUGGCCGGGCACCAACUAGUUCUUCUGGUCUCAGGAUAAUGUAGGUCUCUGGUUCAUGUGGCCCUUUCUGUCUCUUGGGCUCUUAGUUGUCGUGUGACCUUGGUGUUCUUCAUUCUCCUUUGAUCCAGGUGGGUUGAGACCAAAUGAUGCAUCUUAGAUGGCCGCUUGUUAGCAUUUAAGACCCCAGAUGCCACAUUUCAAAGUGGGAUGCAGAAUGUUUUCAUAACAGAAUUAUUUUGCCAAUUGACUUAGAAGUCCCCUUAAACCAUGGUCCCCAAACCCCCGCCCUUGCUCCGCUGACCUUUGAAGCAUUCAUUUUAUCCCGGAAACUUCUUUGCUUUUGGUCCAGUCCAAUUGGGCUGACCUUCCAUGUAUUGAGUGUUGUCCUUCCCUUCACCUAAAGCAAUUCUUAUCUACUAAUUAAUCAGUAAAAAACCCCUCCCUCCCUCCCCGCCUCGUAACCACAAAAGUAUGUGUUCUUCUCAGUUUAUACUAUUUCUCAAGAUCUUAUAAUAGUGGUCUCAUAUUUGUCCUUUUGCCUCUGACUGAUUUCCCUCAGCAUAAUGCCUUCCAGGUUCCUCCAUGUUAUGAAAUGUUUCACAGAUUGGUCACUGUUCUUUAUCAAUGCGUAGUAUUCCAUUGUGUGAAUAUACCACAGUUUAUUUACCCAUUCAUCCGUUGAUGGACACCUUGGUUGCUUCCAGCUUUUUGCUAUUGUAAACAGUGCUGCAAUAAACAUGGGUGUGCAUAUAUCUGUUUGUGUGAAGGCUCUUGUUUCUCUAGGGUAUAUUCCGAGGAGUGGAAUUUCUGGGUUGUAUGGUAGUUCUAUUUCUAACUGUUUAAGAUAACGCCAGAUAGAUUUCCAAAGUGGUUGUACCAUUUUACAUUCCCACCAGCAGUGUAUAAGAGUUCCAAUCUCUCCGCAGCCUCUCCAACAUUUAUUAUUUUGUGUUUUUUGGAUUAAUGCCAGCCUUGUUGGAGUGAGAUGGAAUCUCAUCAUAGUUUUAAUUUGCAUUUCUCUAAUGGCUAAUGAUCGAGAACAUUUUCUCACGUGUCUGUUAGCUGCCUGAGUAUCUUCUUUAGUGAAGUGUGUGUUCAUUUCCUUUACCCACUUCUUGAUUGGGUUGUUUGUCUUUUUGUGGUUGAGUUUUGACAGAAUCACGUAGAUUUUAGAGAUCAGGCGCUGGUCGGAGAUGUCAUAGCUGAAAAUUCUUUCCCAGUCUGUAGGUGGUCUUUUUACUCUUUUGGUGAAGUCUUUAGAUGAGCAUAGGUGUUUGAUUUUUAGGAGCUCCCAGUUAUCUGGUUUCUCUUCGUCAUUUUUGGUAAUGUUUUGUAUUCUGUUUAUGCCGCGUAUUAGGGCUCCUAGGGUUGUCCCUAUUUUUUCUUCCAUGAUCUUUAUCAUUUUAGUCUUUAUGUUUAGGUCUUUGAUCCACUUGGAGUUAGUUUUUGUGCUUGGUGUGAGGUAUGGGUCCUGUUUCAUUUUUUUGCAAAUGGAUAUCCAAUUAUGCCAGCACCAUUUGUUAAAAAGACUAUCUUUUCCCCAAUUAACUAACACUGGGCCUUUGUCAAAUAUCAGGUGCUCAUAUGUGAAUGGAUUUAUAUCUGGGUUCUCAAUUCUGUUCCACUUGUCUAUGUGCCUGUUGUUGUACCAAUACCAGGCUGUUUUGACUACUGUGGCUGUAUAAUAGGUUCUGAAAUCAGGUAGAGUGAGGCCUCCCACUUUCUUCUUCUUUUUCAUUAAUGCUUUGCUUAUCCGAGGCUUCUUUCCCUUCCAUAUGAAGUUGGUGAUUUGUUUCUCUAUCACCUUAAAAAAUGACAUUGGAAUUUGGAUCGGAAGUGCAUUGUAUGUAUAGAUGGCUUUUGUUAGAAUAGACAUUUUUACUAUGUUAAGUCUUCCUAUCCAUGAGCAAGGUAUGUUUUUCCACUUAAGUAGGUCGUUUUUAAUUUCUUGUAGUAGAGCUUUGUAGUUUUCUUUGUAUAGGUCUUUUACAUCCUUGGUAAGAUUUAUUCCUAAGUAUUUUAUUCCAAGGCUGUAAAUUUUUCUGGAAGUACAUUGCCUUGCCUCAUCUUUCUCCCACAGAGCAGCUGGUGGGUUUGAACCACCGAUCUUUCGGUUAGCAGUUGAAUGUUUUAGCCACUUUGCUACCAGGGCUCCUUUUAGCAUAUAAUAAGUGCUUAAUAACUGUUAAUUUUUGAAAAAGCUAAAGUUUAUGACACUGUUUAACAAAGAAGAUAUUUAAUAUAUGUAGCUUAUGAUCGCUAUUAUAUAAACUAGUAUCCGAAUUUACUAAUUCAUAAUGGCAUAUAUAACUGUUAAGAAGACUGUGUUGUUUGCGGCCAUCAAGUUGGUUCCAACUCAACAGAAUGAAACACUGCCUGGUCCUGUGCCAACCUCACAAUCAUUGCUAGGUUUGAGCCCAUUGUUGACAGGCACUGUGUCAAUCUAUCUCACUGAGGGUCUUCCUCUUUUUCUUUGAUCCUCGACUUUACCGAGCAUGAUGUCUUCCAGGGACUGGUCCCUCCCAAGAACAUGUCCAAAGUAUGUGAGAUGAAGUCUCUCCAUCCUCGCUUUUAAGGAGCAUUCUCGCUGUACAUCCUCCAAGACAGACUUGUUUGUUCUUCUGGCAGUCCAUGGUAUCUUCACUAUUAUUUGCCAACACCGUAAUUUAAAGCCAUCAAAUCUUCAGUAUUCCUUAUUCAUUGUCUUUGCAUAGUCGAUAAAACACAGGUAAACAUUUUUCUGGUAUUCUUUGCUUUCAGCCAAGAUGCAUCUGACAUAAGCAGUGAUACCCCUUGUUCCACAUCCUCUUUGGAACCUGGCUUGAGUUCCUGGCAUUCCCUGUCUGUUUAGGGCUGUAACCAUUGUUGAAUUAUGUUCAGCAAAAUUUUACUUUGUGUGAUAUUAAUGAUAUUGUUCGAUAGUUUCCAUGUUGUAUUGGAUUACCUUUCUUUGGAAUAAGCACAAAUAUAGAUCUCUUCCAGUUGGUUGGCCAGGUAGCUGGCUUCCAAAUUUGUUGGCAUAGUGAGCAUCUCCCAACACUGUGGUAGUUUGUUGAAAAUCUCAGUUGGUAUUCUGUCAAUUCUUGGAGCCUUGUUUUUCGCCAGUGCCUUCAGUGCAGUUUGGACUUCUUUCCUUGGUACCAUCAGUUCCUGAUCAUAUGCUACCUCCUGAAAUGGUUGAACGUCAACCAGUUCUUUUUGGUACAGUGACUUUGUGUAUUCCUUCCAUCUUCUUUUGAUGCUUCCUGCAUCAUUCAAUAUUUUGCCAGUAGAAUCCUUCAGUAUUACCACUUGAGGCUUGACUUUUUUCUUCAGCUCUUUCAGCUUGACAAAUUUCGAGGAUGUUCUUUCCUUUUGGUUUUCUAACUCCAGGUCUUUGUACAUUUUUUAUAAUACUGUACUUCGUCUUCUCAAGCUGCCCUUUGAAAUCUUCUGUUCAGCUCUUUCACUUAUCAUCUCUUGCGUUUGCUUUAGCUACUGAGCAUUUCAAGAUCAAGUUUUAGAGUCUCUUCUGACAUCCACUUUGGUCUUUUUUUUUUCUUAGUGACUUUUGUUUUCUUCAAAUAUGAUGUUCUUGAUGUCAUCCCGCAACUCAUCUGGUCUUCAGUCAUUAGUGUUCAGUGUGUCAAAUCUAUUCUUGAGAUGGUCUCUAAAUGCAGGUGGGAUAUACUCAAGGUUGUACUUUGGCUCUUGUGGACUUGUUUUAGUUUUAUUCAGCUUCAGCUUGAACUUGCAUAUGACCAAUUGAUGGUCUGUUCCACAGCCAUUCCCUGGCCUUGUACUGACUGAUGAUAUUGAGCUUCUCCAUCGUCUCUUUCCACGGAUGUAAUUGCUUUGAUUCCUGUGUAUCCCAUCUCGCAAGGUCCAUGUGUUUAGUUGCUGUUUAUGUUGUUGAAGAAAGGUAUUUGCAAUGAAGAAGUCGUUGGUCUGUAAAAUUCCAUCAUGUGAUCUCCGGUAUCAUUUUCUAUCACCUAGGCCAUAUUUUAACUACCGAUCCUUCUUUGUUUCCAACUUUCACAUUCCAAUCACCAGUAAUUAUUAAUGCAUCUUGAUUGCAUGUUUGAUCGAUUUCAGACUGCACAAGUUGGUAAAAAGCUUCAGUUUCUUCAUCUUGUGCCUUAGUGGUUGGUGUGUAAAUUUCAGUAAUAGUCAUUGUUAUGGAUUGAAUUGUGUCCCCCAAAAAUGUGUGUCAACUUGGCUAGGCCAUGAUUCCUAGUAUUGUGUGAUUGUCUACCAUUUUAUCAUCUGAUGUGAUUUUCCUUUGUGUUGUAAAUCCUACCUCUAAAAUGAUCAAUACCAUAGACAUUAGUGAGCUGACCAGAGGCAGGAUUAGAGGCAGUUAAUGAUUAGAAGCAGUUAUGUUAAUGAGGCAGGUCUCAAUCUACAAGCUUAGAUUGUGUCUUAAAUCAGCCUCUUUUGAGAUAUAAGCAGAGAGACAUGGGGACCUCAUACCACCAAGAAACAAGAGCCAAGAGUAUAGUACAUCCUUUGGAUGUGGAGUCCCUGCUCUACAAAGCUCCUCAACCAGGGAAGAUUGAUGACAAGGACCUUCCCCCAGAGCCAACAGUGAGAGAAAGGCUUCCCCUGGAGCUGGCACCCUGAAUUCGGACUUCUAGCCUCCUAGACUGUGAGAGUAUAAAUUUCUGUCUGUUAAAGCCAUCCACUUAUGGUAUUUCUGUUAUAGCAGCACUAGAGAACUAAGACAGUCAUAUCAGCUGGUCUUCCUUGUAAACACAACCCAGUCUUCCUUGUAGGCAUGUGGAUAUGGAUAUUAUCCUAUCACUGACGUUGUAUUUCGGGAUAGAUCUUGAAAUGUUCAUGAUGAAUGCGAUGCCGUUCCUCUACAAUUUGUCAUUCUUGGCAUGGUAGGCCACGUGAUUGUCUGACUCAAAAUAGGCAAUACCAGUCCAUUUCAGCUCACUCAUGCCUAGGGUACUGAUCUUCAAGCGUUCCAUUUGAUCUUUGACAACUUCUGAUUUUUCUUGAUACCAAACCAAACCCACUGCCGUCGAGUCGAUUCCGACUCAUAGUGACCCUACAGGACAGAGUAGAACUGCCUGAUAGAGUUUCCAAGGAGCGCCUGGAGGAUUUGAACUGCCGACCUCUUGGGUAGCAGCCGUAGCACUUAACCACUACGCCACCAGUGUUUCCUUUUUUGAUACAUACUUUGUAUAUUCCACAUUCUGAUUAUUAAUGGAUGUUUGCAGCUGUCUUUUCUCAUUUUGAGUUGUGCCACAUCAGCAAAUGAAGGUUCUGAAAGCUUUGUUCCAUCCGCGUCAUUAAGAUUGACUCUACUUUGAAGAGGCAGCUCUUCCCCAGUCAUAUUUGGAAUGUCUUCCAACCUGAGGGGCUUAUUUGGCCACUGUAUCAGACAGUGUUCCGUAGCUAUCCACAAGGUUUUCACUGGCCAACUUUUUUCAGAAGUAGCUCGCCAGGUCAUUCUUCCCAGUCUGUCUUAGUCUGGAAGCUCCAUUGAAACCCAUCUACCAUGGGUGACCCUGCUGGUAUUUGAAAUGCCUGUGGCAUAGUUGCCAGCAUCACAGAACAUGCAAGCCACCACAGUAUGACAAGGUGACAGAUGAGUGGUGGAAGAAGACUGUACGGUUAGGUUAUUUGGUUAGUACAUUCAUUCUCUGAAGGCAUACCAUCUAGGAUGCCAAAUUUAUAAGUAGAAGCAGGCCACGGGAAAUUAGUUAUGUGGCAUAGGUAUUUAAUGGCAUCAGAUGUUGCUAUCAAAAUGCAAUAAUUUCUCUUUGUUAUAGAUAUAUUUAUCACCAGAGCUGAACAGAUUUAGAGUUUGUGUCAGCAAAACUUUUGUCACAGCCUUUUGGCUCUGUUAAUACUUUCUGACCCCUACAUGUCUGUCAGUUUUUCGUACUGUGGGGGCUUGCGUGUUGCUGUGAUGCUGGAAGCUAUGCCGCUGGUAUUCAGAUACCAGCAGGGUCACCCAUGGAGGACAGGUUUCAGCUGAGCUUCCAGACUAAGACAGACUAGGAAGAAGCACCCAGCAGUCUACUUCUGAAAAGCACUAGCCAGUGAAAGCCUUAUGAAUAGCAGCAGAACAUUGUCUGAUACAGUGCUGGAAGAUGAGCCCCCCAGGUUGUAAGGCGCUCAAAAGAUGCCUGGGGAAGAGCUGCCUCCUCAAAGUAAAGUCGACCUUAAUGACGUGGAUGGAGUAAAGCUUUCGGGACCUUCAUUUGCUGAUGUGGUAUGACUCAAAAUGAGAAGAAGUAGCUGCAAACAUCCAUUAAUAAUCAGAACUUAGAAUGUAUGAAGUAUGAAUCUAGGAAAAUUAGAGAUUGUCAAAAAUGAAAUGGAACAUGUAAACAUCGAUAUCCUAGGCAUUAGUGAACUGAAAUGGACUGGUAUUGGCCAUUUUGAAUCAGACAAUCAUAUAGUCUACUAUGCUGGGAAUGACAUCUUGAAGAGGAAUGGUGUUGCAUUCAUCAUCAAAAAGAACAUUUCAAGAUCUAUCCUGAAGUACAAUGCUGUCAGUGAUAGGAUAAUAUCCAUACGGGCACAAGGAAGACCAGUUAAUACUACUAUUAUUCAAAUAUAUGCAUCAACCACUAGGGCCAAAGAUGAAGAAAUAGAAGAUUUUUAUCAGCUGCUGCAGUCUGAAAUUGAUCAAACAUGCAAUCAAGAUGCGUUGAUAAUUACUGGUGAUUUUAAUGUGAAAGUUGGAAACAAAGAAGAAGGAUCAGUAGUUGGAAAAUAUGGCCUUGGUGACAGAAACAAUGCUGGAGAUUGAAUGAUAGAAUUUUGCAAGACCAACAACUUCUUCAUUGCAAAUAUGUUCUUUCACCAGCAUAAACAGCAACUAUACACAUGGACCUCGCCGGAUGGAAGACACAGAAAUCAAACUGACUACAUCUGUGGAAAGAGACAAUGGAAAAGCUCAAUAUCAUCAGUCACAACAAGGCCAGGGGCCGACUCUGGAACAGACUACCUGUUGCUCAUAUGCAAGUUCAAGCUGAAACUGAAGCAAAUCAGAGCAAGCCCACGAGAGCCAAUAUAUGACCUUGAGUAUAUCCCACCUGAAUUUAGAGACCAUCUCAAGAACAAACUUGACGCAUUGAACACUGGUGACCGAAGACCAGAUGAGUUUUGGAAUGACAUCAAGGACAUCAUCCAUGAAGAAAGCAAGAGGUCAUUGGAAAGAUGGGAAAGAAAGAAAGAAAAGACCAAGAUGGAUGUUGGAGGAGACUCUGAAACUUGCUCUUGAACGUCAAGCAGCUAAAGCAAAAGGAAGAAUUGAUGAAGUAAAAGAACUGAACAGAAUAUUUCAAAGGGCGGCUCGAGUAGACAAAGUAAAGUAUUAUAAUGACAUGUACAAAGACCUGGAAAUGGAAAACCAAAAGGGAAGAACACACUCGGCGUUUCUCAGGCUGAAAGAACUGAAGAAAAAAUUUAAGCCUCGAGCUGCAACAGUGAGGGAUUCUAUGGGAAAAAUAUUAAAUGACGUAGGAAGCAUCAAAAGUAGAUGGAAGGAAUACAUAGAGUCAUUAUACCAAAAAGAAUUAGUUGAUGUUCAACCGUUUCAAGAGGUAUCAUAUGAUCAGGAACCGAUGGUACUGAAGGAAGAAGUCCAAGCUGCUCUGAAGGCAUUGGCGAAAAACGAGGCUCCAGGAAUUGAUGGAAUAUCAAUUGAGAUGUUUCAACAAACGGAUGCAGUACUGGAGGUGCUCACUUGUCUAUGCCACGAAAUAUGAAAGACAGCCUUCUGGCCAACUGACUGGAAGAGAUCCGUAUUUAUGCCUAUUCCCAAGAAAGGUGAUCCAACUGAAUGAGGAAAUUAUAGAACAAUAUCAUUAAUAUCACAUGCAAGCAAAAUUUUGCUGAAGAUCAUUCAAAAAUGGCUGUAGCAGUAUAUCGACAGGGAACUGCCAGAAAUUCAGGCCAGUUUCAGAAGAGGACGUGGAACCAGGGUUAUCAUUACUGAUGUCAGAUGGAUCCUGGCUGAAAGCAGAGAAUACCAGAAGGAUGUUUACCUGUGUUUUAUUGACUAUGCAAAGGCAUUUGACUGUGUGGAUCAUAACAAAUUAUGGAUAACAUUGGGAAGAAUGGGAAUUCCAGAACACUUAAGCGUGGUCAUGAGGAACCUUUACAUAGAUCAAGAGGCAGCUGUUCACACAGAACAAGGGGAUAGUGCAUGGUUUAAAGUCAGGAAAGGUGUGCCUGAGGGUUGUAUUCUUUCACCAUACUUAUUCAAUCUGUAUGCUGAGCAAAUAAUCCGAGAAGCUGGACUAUAUGAAGAAGAACGGGGCAUCAGGAUAGGAGGAAGACUCAUUAACAACCUGCGCUAUGCAGAUGACAGAACCUUCCUUGCUGAAAGUGAAGAGGACUCGAAGCACUUACUAAUGAAGAUCAAAGACCACAGCCUUCAGUAUGGAUUGCACCUCAACAUAACCCAAAACAAAAAUCCUCACAACUGGACCAAUGAGCAACAUCAUGAUAAACAGAGAAAAGAUUGAAAUUGUCAAGGAUUUCAUUUUACUUGGAUCCAUAAUCAACACCCAUGGAAGCAGCAGUCAAGAAAUCAAAAGAUUCAUUGCAUUGGGUAAAUCUGCUGCAAAGGACCUCUUCAAAGUGUUGAAAAGCAAAGAUGUCACUUUGAAGACUAAGGUGCGGCUGUCCCAAGGCAUCGUAUUUUCAAUCGCAUCAUGGGCAUGUGAAAGCUGGACAAUGAAUAAGGAAGACUGAAGAAGAAUUGAUGCCUUUGAAUUAUGGUGUUGGCGAAGAAUAUUGAAUAUACCAUGGACUGCCAAAAGAACGAACGAAUCUGUCUUAGAAGAAGUACAGCCAGGAUGCUCCUUAGAAGCAAGGAUGGCAAAACUGCAUCUUACAUACUUUGGACAUGUCAUCAGGAGGGAUCAGUCUCUGGAGAAGGACAUCAUGCUUGACAAAGUACAGGGUCAGCGGGAAAGAGGAAGACCCUCAACGAGGUGGAUUGACACCAUGGCUGCAGCAAUGGGCUGAAGCAUAACAACGAUUGUAGGGAUGGUGCAGGACUGGGCAGUGUUUCUUUCUGUUAUGCAUAGGGUUGCUAUGAGUCAGAACCGACUGGAGGGCAUAUAACAACAAUACUUUCUGAUACCGACAUUCUGACUUCUAAGCUAUUCCAUCUCUUAAAGGUGAUCUUGUAUAUCUCUGUUCUCUCUAAGGGAGGGUAGCCUUAUUCUCAGUUCUUUGAGAGACCCGUGACAUCACUGUCACCUGUGUAUUGAUUAUAUGUACUUUCAUAAGGCUGUACCUGUUGAGUAAAUAGGCAACAAAUCUGCUGAAAAUGAGGCAGUCUGUAACUGGGGGGAAGGGAAUGAGGGAGUUAUUGAUAAUAAUUUAAGGGGUGAUUGAUGGGGACAAUUCUUCCACUGUUGUGGGUCUGUGAUUGAAAAGAGUUUUUGUUGGUCCAGCAUUCUGGCAGAAGGGUUACAGUUUUAGGCUAGUUAGUGCUCACAAAGCAGUAACUAGUGAAGGCUCUCUGGUAUAAUAUAUCAGGAUGGCUUGGAGGCUGUGCCUUUCAAAGAAAGGAGGCCACAGUAGUGGGUGUUGUUGCUGUCAUUUCUAUUUUGAAAUUGUUAUGAGCAGUGCAUCUGUGUGGUAUUCUGGCAAGUACUGUUUAUUUAUUUACUUCUGCCACCAUCUGUCUGUCAAUUUGUUUUACUGUGGUGGUUUGUAUGUUUCUUUGAUGCUGGAAGCUAUGCCACCAAUAUUUCAAAUACCAGCAGAGUCAUUUGUGGUUUUCAGAUUUCAGUGGAGCUUCCAGACUAAGAGAGACUAGAAAGAAAGGCCUGGCAAUCUAUAUCUGAAAAUUAACCAAUGAAAACCUUAUGGAUGCACAACAGAACAUUGUCCAACUCGCUUGCUUUGGACACAUCAUUAGGAAGGAUCAGUUGCUGGAGGAGAAUAUCGCAUUUGGUAAAGUAGAAGUAGACUGGAACUGCUAACCUUUCAGUUAGCAGCUGAGUGCUUAACCAUUUGUGACAUUCAGACUCCUUUCUACUGUAUGUUGUUGUAGUGUGCCUUUGAGUCGAUUCUGACUCAAAGUAACCCUAUAGGACAGUGUAGAACUGCCCCAUAGGGUUUCCUGAGCUGUGACCUUUAUGGGAGCAGAUCGUCAGGUCUUUUCUCCUGAGGAGCCACUACUGGGUUUGAUGGUAGGAGACAUGCCUGACAGAAGUUAUGGCCAGAUGAGAAUAGGGUUAGCUUUGUUGUUGUUAGGUGCCGUUGAGUCGAUUCCGACUCAUAUCGACCCUGUGCGCAACAGAAUGAAACACUGCCUGGUCCUGAGCCAUCCUUACGAUCGUUGUUAUGCUCGAGCUCAUUGUUGCAGCCACUGUGUCAAUCCACCUUGUUGAGGGUCUUCCUCUUUUCCGCUGACCCUGUACUCUGCCAAGCAUGAUGUCCUUCUCCAGGGACUGAUCCCUCCUGACAACAUGUCCAAAGUAUGUAAGACGCAGUUUUGCCAUCCUUGCUUCUAAGGAGCAUUCUGGCUGUACUUCUUCUAAGACAGAUUUGUUCGUUCUUUUGGCAGUCCAUGGUAUAUUCAAUAUUCUUCGCCAACACCACAAUUCAAAGGCGUCAGCUCUUCUUCUGUCUUCCUUAUUCAUGUCCAUCUUUCACAUGCACAUGAUGCGAUUGAAAAUACCAUGCCUUGGGUCAGGCGCACCUUAGUCUUCAAAGUGACAUCUUUGCUUUUCAACACUUUGAAGAGGUCCUUUGCAGCAGGUUUACCCAAUGCAAUGCAUCUUUUGAUUUCUUGACUGCUGCUUCCAUGGGUGUUGAUUGUGGAUCCAAGUAAAAUGAAAUCCUUGACAACUUCAAUCUUUUCUCCGUUAAUAAUGAUGUUGCUUAGGUUUAGUAAAAUGAUUAGAGGAUUUGUUUGCUAUAUUUAAGGUAGAGGCAGGAAGGGGCAUAAACCUUGUACUGUCUGUAUGCCAGGCCAAUGCUAAGCGAUUGAUUUACAUUAACUUAGUAAUUGUAAUGAUCCUAUGAGAGCAGGUGAUGCCCUCAUUUUACAAAGAAGGGAACUGAAGCUGAAAAAAUUUAAGUGCCACCCUGCUAGCAUGUUGGCAGGGCUUGAAUUCAAAACCUUACUUCUCCCACUUGAAAACCUAUGUUAUUUCAUUACAUUUGCUUAUCUAUAGGAUAAUAAAAGGUGUGUAUUUAUGGUUAUAAAUUUUUUUCUAAAAUUGUACUUCCUUUUUGUGAAGCAUACUCCUGAGGGAUUGAAACGACUUUGUAAAUUUAAAAUAUUUCACGUGAACAUAUCUAUAGUUCUAGAAGCCUAAAGGCAGACAAUUUUGAGCUUUUCUUAAUUUAUAUUACUUUGAAAUGUAUGCAGCCUGUAUCUCCUUCUGAAGAUGUUUUUUUCUUUUUUAUAAUUUAUUUUUAUUGUUGAGAAUAUACCCAGCAGAACAUACAUCAAUUGAACAGUUUCUACUGUACAAUUCAGUGACACGGAUUGCAUUUCGCUGAGCAGCCAUUCUCACUCUGCUUUUCCAAGUUCUUCUUCUUCCAUUAACAUAAACUCACUGCCCCCUAAAUUUAUUCUGAAGAUGUUUUUUAUGUGAAACACUGAAGUUGAGUUAAAGUUAUAAAAUAUAGCUACAGUGUAACAGGAAACCCUGGUUGCGUAAUGGUUAAGAGCCACAGCUGCUAGCCAAAAGGUAAAGCAGUUCGAAUGUACCAGGCGCUUCUUGGAAACCCUAUGGGGCAGUUCUGGUCUGUCCUACAGGGUCUCUGUGAGUUGGAAUCAACUUGAUAGUAGUGGGUGUUUUGGUUUUACAGUGUAACAAAUCAAGAGGCCCUACUUGUUAACCCUGCUGUGAGAGGCAUUAAACAUUAAACAGAUUUAAGACAGAUAUUCAGCUGAAUAGUUCUCAGUACAUUUUUAAAAUUACCUUUUCCUAGGGAUUUAAAAAAUAACAGGUCAACCACUGUACGUGAUGAGAUCAUUAUGUGCUGUUCUCUUGAGAAUGUGAGUCACUCCUUAUUGCUGUCAUCAUGCUGUUCUGAUUUGGAAUCUUUUAUUUUUGUUAGACUGGUUUCCAGAUACCUAUUUCAGAACCGAUUUCAAAUGUCAUGCUUUACAACAAAUUUUGCUUGACUCUAAUUCUCAGAUGAAAGAAUUUUUUUUCUUCUUCCAACUGCAGAUUGAUAGAUCAGCAGGUUUAGUUAAAAGUAAAAUUCAAGAGCAUCCUUCAGUGAUUAUUGGCUUGUACACAACACAUUUUAGAUAGCACUGGUGGUUGAAGUUGUAUUAUUUUUCUACUUAAUUCUUAUUUACCGGUGGCUUCACUGAUAGCUUCUUGAUGGAUUGCAAGGAUUAUAAUCAAGCAGCAUGAUUUUUGUCUAAAGUGACACCUGUUCACUUUUAACUAGCAUGUGGAUUUGUACUUUGGUGUAUAUGUGUGCGUGCAGUUAGGGAUAAAACGUCUGCCACUCAGUAUAAUAAUGACUUAAAAACAAUAAAAUUCCUAUUUCUUUCAGAAUCUCUGUAAGGUAGAUGACUGCUGCUCUUCUUUUGUGGAAAGGAAAAUUAAAGGAAGAUGAUACGAUUUGUCAACUAGGUUAAACUUUGAAUUUCUCCUUGAUUUUGUUAGUUUGCUGGACAUUUUGCCUUUUUCUCUAAAGGGGGAGGGAGAGAGAGAGGGAGACAGACGGGGGCGGGGGUGCGGAGAGAGAUGGUGAUGGUGACCAUAACCAUCCAGUGCUCUGCGUUAGGUUCAGAUGCACAGGAGAAGACAAGCUAGAGAGCUCAGGCAACAAACAAAAAAGCAAGCAAGCGACAACCAUGACUAGCAUUGUCCGUUAGUUGCCAGCUAACUGCUUUACAUACCUCGUCUCGUGAGUUCUUCCGACAGCUCUGUUUCCCCGUUUCACACAGGAAGACUCGUGCUCAGCUAGGGGCCUCUGUGUGACUUGUCUGAGGUCACACCUGGCACAGCCAGGAUUCAGAGUUUGGCAGGGGGACUUCAGAGCCAGUGCUUUACCGCCUACUGUUUCACCCUGCUUAUUUCACAGAAAGGGAUGGGAGAGGAGCCCAUAACAAGUACCUGGUGGUUUCUGGGUGGUCAGGAGGUUAUUGCUGUGGACAACUGAGGGUAAAGAGAGAGACUCGGAGGGAACAGUUAGAGGGGUAGUGGGAAGAACCGGGACGGAGAGUUUUGAGAAGGAUUAAGACCAGUGUCAAAUGAGACCAAAAGGUCUUUAUAAGGUUAUUUACUCUACAGUUAGCAAAAAGGUUUUGUUUUUGUUUUUUCUUUUUGGCUGCUUAACCCCAUCCUAGAUUCCUUUUCCCCAGGAACGCAUGAAUGUGCUCUUACAUUAUCAGUACUGUUGGCUUGUUAGGCUCUGUUCCUUGGCUCCCUGGGAGCAGCAGUCAGUGCCAAGGUAAAUAUUUAUUUCUAGAUCCACAGAAUGAAUUGAUUUUCACAUUGGCGUGUACUGAAGAAAAUCCAGACGUCCUGAGGUGUUUGCUACCUAGAGCUGUUCAUGCAGUGUUAGUUAGAAUGUUACGGUAUCAGCAUUCCUUAGAAGUUUCUUGGGGGAAAAAAUUACUGGCUUUAAAAAAGGUAAGUGUAAAGCAGGUAUGAAGAUGGUAGUAUAAAGGACAGAGGUUCUUUUCCUUUUGAGACAAACUUAACAGGCUUAAUAACAGCCUAUUAUUAAGUUAGGAAACUUUAUUUGUCCAUGGGCAACUAAUUUAGCAGUUCUACUUUAGUUUUUUAGCCAACAUAAUGGAAAUAAUAGCAGAAGCUUCAGAUUACUGGCUAUUGAGUAAUAGUAUAUUAGCUUAUGGGCUAUAUUUACUGAAAUUUUAAAUGGUCGUCUGCACUUAUAUGUAUCUUCCUUGUCUAUCAUUCAUUUGUUCAACAAAUAUUUUUUGAGUCUCUACAGUGUAAACCAAAAAACCAAACCAGUUGCUGUUGAGUUGAUUCUGACUCAUGGUGACCCCCUGUGUGUAAGAAUAGAACUGUGCUCUAUAGGCUUGCCAGUGGCUGUAGAUCACCAGGCUUUUCUUCUGAGGCACGUCUGGGUGGACUUGAACCUCCAGCCUUUCAGUUAAUAGCUGAGUGCUUAACUGUUUCUGCCACCCAGGGGUUUCUUUCUACAGUAUGUUUUUUUGGGUGCUGUCUAGUCGAUACUGACUCAUAGUGACCCUGUAGGACAGAGUAGAACUGGCCCAUAGGCUUUCCUAAGCUAUAAUCUUUAUGGGAGCAGAUUACCAGGUCUCAUCUCCUGAGGAGCCACUGGUGGGUUUGAACCACCAACCUUUUGGUUACCAGCCCAGCACUUAACCAUUGUGCCACCAGGGCUCAUUUUCUUGUGUAUAAAACCUGUUGCCGUCGAGUCGACUGUGACUUAUAGUGACCCUAAAGGACAGAGUAGAACUGCCCCGUAGGGUUUCAAGGAAUGCCUGGUGAAUUCGAACUGCCGACCUUUUGGUUAGCAUUCGUAGCUCUUAACCACUGCGCUACCAGGGUGGCUGAAGGUCGAACGUCAGGAGUGACUUCAGUACUGAGUUAAAAGGGUGUCUGGGGAUCACCUCACAUUUUCUUAAUUUUAUUUUGGAUUGCUUGUUGUAAGAAUAUGGAAAUAAAACAGACUUUUGUAUAUUGAUCUUAUGUUCUGCAGCUUUGCUGAAGCUGUUUAUUAGCUUUUAUAGUUUUUUUUAAAAAAUGGAUUCUGUAGGAGUUUCUAUAUAAAAUGGAAGAUCAUGUCAUCUGUAAAUAUAGUUUUACUUCUUCCUUUCCAGUCUGGAUGCCUUUUAUAUCUUUUUCUUGCCUGAUUUCCCUGGCUAGAACCUUCAGCACAAUGUUGAAUAGGAGUGUCAAGAGGGGAUGUCCUUGUCUUGUUCCUGAUCUUAAGCAUAAAACUUUCAGUCUUUCACCAUUGGGUAUAAUGGUAGGUGUGAGUUUUUCAUAGAUGGCCUUUAUCAGAUUGAGAAAGUUGCCUUCUAUUCCUUGUUAUGUGUUUUUAUCAUGAAAGCGUGUCUGGCUUUAUCAAAUGUUUUUCUGUGUCUAUUGAGAUGAUCAUGUGGUUUUUUAUCCUUUAUUUUAUGUGUAUUAUAUUCAUUGAUUAUUAUAUAUUGAUGCAACUUUGCAUUCCUGGGAUAAAUCCCAUUUGGUCAUGGUGUAUAAUCCUUUUUAUAUGUUGCUGGAUUUGGUUUACUAGUAUUUUGUUGAGGAUUUUGUCCCUGUAUUACUAACAGGUAUUGGUCUUUUCUUGUGAUGUCUUUGCCUGGUUUUGGUAUUUGAAUAAUAAUGGCAUCACAUAUUAAGUUGGGAAGCAUUCCUUCUCUUCUGUUUUUUGGAAGAGUUUGCGAAGGAUUGGUGUUUAUUCUUUAAAUGUUUGGUAAACCCACCGGUAAAGCUAUCUGGGACUGACCUUUUCUUUGGAGAAGUUUUUUAAUUGAUUGAUUCAGUCUCUUUACUUGUUAUAGGUCUAUUCAGAUUUUCUAUUUCUUGAAUCAGUUUUGUCAAUUUGUGUGCCUUUCUAGGAAUUUCUUAAUUUCAUCUAGAUUAUCUAAUUUGCUGACAUACAAUUAUUCAUUGUAUUUCCUUAUGAUUCUUUCUGUUUCUGUAAGGUUGCCAGUAAUGUCUUUCAUUUCUGAUUUUAAUAAUUUGAGUCCUCUCUUUUGCUUGGUCAAUCUAGCUAAAGAUUUGUCAAUUUUGUUGAUCUUUUCGAACAACCAACUUUCGGUUUCACUGAUUUCUCUUAAUUCUUUUUCUGUUUCAUUUUAUUUCUGCUCUAAUCUUUAUUGUUUCUUUCCUUCUGCUUGCUUUAGGUUUAGUUGUUCUACUUUGUACACUUUCCUAAGGUGGAAGGCUACAUUAUUAAUUUGAGAUCUUUUUUCUUUUUCAAAAUAGGCGUUAACAGCUAUAAAUUUCUCUCCAAGAACUGCUUUCAUUGUGUCCUAUAAGUUUUGGUAUGCUGGGUUUUUUUUUUUUUUUUUCCAUUCAUCUUGAGGUAGUUUCUAAUUUCCCUUUUGAUUUCUUCUUUGACUUAUUGGUUACUUAGGAGUUUGUUGUUUAAUUUUUAUAUAUUUGUGACUUACCCAGAUUUCCUUCUUAUUGAAAUUUCUAAUUUUAUUCCAUUGUAGUCAAAGAAUAUACUUUGCAUUAUUUCCAUCCUUUUAAAUUUAUUAAGACUUAUUUUAUGGCCUAACGUAUACACUUGUGAAGAAUGUAUAUUCAAGCAGCUUCCGUUUAAGGACACAAUCUGGAAGUCGUAUAUAUGGCGUCCAUUCACAGUCUACUGGCCAGUAGAUAGAUACAGGGCCUAUACCUAGCUGAAAGGGAGGCUGGAAGUAUAGCGUACAGCAGGGGAGCCAUGUGUUCAGCUGAAACUUGGAGGUGGAGGGUAUUUUUACUGAGGAAGAUGGGAAGGGUGGAUAUUGGGGGAUAGUAUAUCACAGGCAGCAUUACAUUUUUGUGGUAAUUUACUUUGCAACUUCAAUAUAAAUUAUAAUCUGAAUCAAUGCCUUGGUGUUGAUGAUUAGCACAAUAAUUAUUAGAAAUAGUUUUUGAUUGCAUGGCUUGUUAUAACCAGACCCACUGCCCUUACAUGAAUAAGGUGUAAGAAACCAGCAAACCCAACCACCAGACCAAACAGUCCUUGCUUAGCUGUGGAGCCCUUGAGGAAUAGAACAUAUUAGCCCUGUAUCUACACUUCAUGGAGAUCUUGUUUUCUCAUCCAGCUGAAACGACUGUAGUAUCCUUUCAGGAUUCCUUUCUUGAGGUGCUGGGCUUUGUAGCUGCAGACAGAAAGAGGGACCUUGUCUUAGUCGUCUAGUGCUGGUAUAACAGAAAUACCAUAAGUGCAUGACUUUAACAAAAAGAAGUUUAUUUAUUCACAGUAAAGUAGGCUAAAAGUCCAAACUCAGGGUGUCAGCUCCAGGGGAAGACUUUCUCUCUCUGUCGAUCUUCUCGUCAGUCUUUCCCUGGACAAGGAGCUUCUCUGCACAGGGACUCUCUCUGCUCCUGGCACUGCCUUCUUGGGGGUAUGAGGUCCCUCUGCUUCUCCGCUCCCUUCUCUUUUAUAUCUCAAAAGAGAUUGCCUCAAGAUACAAUCCAAUCUUGUAGGUUGAGUCCUGCCUCACUGGCACAACUGCUGCCCAUCCUCCCUCAGUAACAUCAUAAAGGCAGGCUUUACAACAUAUAGGAAAAUCACACAAUACCAGGAAUCAUGGCCCAGCCAAAUAGGUACACACAUUUUUGAGGGGACAUAAUUCAAUCCAUGACAGACCUCAUUCAAGCUAUAGGUCCUAUGACUCUUUGUGCCAAUUUCCAAAAAAUGCAGUCUUUUAGCAUUCAAAUCAUUAGUGAGAUAAUGCCUGGUGGGAAGAUUGCUGGGAUGUGGUUAUGCUGGCCCUACCUUGCUCUCACCACCAGAAGCUACUAGUAUUUGUAAAAAACCACCUGAUAUUUGGUGAUGGCACUGGCUUAGGCAGGAUUACUCCAGGCCAGGGUGUAGCUGGAAAUCAUUGAUAGGCAGGGCUCUUUCUUUCUGUCCUUUCUGCUUCUCUGUGUAGACUUUAUUCAUUCCUUUUUCUACAUGGAAGGCACAUGAGCCCUGGCAGCUGUACCUCACAGCUUCAGGAACAAAAAGGAAAGAAUUCUUCUCCUAGCCUAGUUGAGAAAUCCCUGGGAAAGGAUUCCAUCUGCUUUGCAGAGUCAUGGGUACUGCGAUUGGCCAGUUUGGUCAUUUAACCAGUUGGAAUCGACUCAAUGACAACGGUUUUUUUUUUUUUACAGCACUCACUGUACCUGGGAUUUUCAAUCACACCAGCUUCCUUUUUGUCCCACAUUAGAGCUGAGUGGGAAGAGAAUGAGGGAGAGGGCCCUGUGCCAUUUCGGAAGAGAGAGGAGGAUUCCAGUUUAACAGUACAAGUACAGACUGGGAGAAUGAUUUGCAGGGCAGCCGUUUCAAAUUGCUCCUGCCUUGUCAAACUCCGUUACAUUUUACAUGUAUAACGUUGGGUAAUUUACUGUAUGUCCUUAGUGUCACUUUCAUUUAUAAUAUGUGAAUAAUUCUUACCACACAAGAUUUUGGGAAGUUUACAGCCUAUAAAGUGCAUGUCACAUAGAGAGCACCUAUAAGUGAGUGUCUGCGGUGCCGUAGCUGGUACUGUUAAUAUUAAUGUAACAUCACCCUUUUUCACAUGUCCUCAUAUUUACAGCAUUAUUUUUCUAAAAUAAGUCUUUGAGAAUGUUAUUGCCCUCCUUGUAAACCUUCAGUAGCUCUCCAUUAACUGUAGAAUAAAGUCGAAUUUCUUUAAUUACUCAAUAAUUUCUUUUCUGGCUCUUGCAGGAUCUGGUUCACAUUUCCCCCUUUCAUCCUCAUCUUCUCUGCAUUCCUUUCUGCACUUCUUCUGUAUUCUUGUUAGUAAAUCUCUUCUUCUGUGCCUACUUCAUGUAUAGUGUUUUCUGUAUCUGUGCCUUUGCUGCUGCUGUUCCCUUGCCUUGGAAUGCCUUCUUUUUCCUGCUUUCUCCUCUUCUCGUCAGACUUUUUACUUUUUUUUAAAGUCCUAGAUUGAAAUGUGAAAUAUGGUCACAUCAGUAUUGCUGUCCCUGUUUUUUUUCCAUAGCAGGGCCCCUCUGUAGUCCACAGCACUUUGUGUCUCCGUUCAUGUAGCAUUUAUUUUUGCCGCAUAUUGCACUUAUUUACAUGCUAGUCUUUCUGUUUUGUUUUUUUUUUUUACCCAUUUUGCAAGAGCCUAGGCCAGUUAUUUUACAGAAUAUCACCACAUUCUGGAUUUGUCCGAUGGUUUCCUAGUUAUGUUUGUUUUAAUUAUUCUCAGCUAUCUCUUUAAGUGUUUUAUAACUUGUUAUCCCAAUAGUGGUACCAUCGUUGAUGCCUGUCUUGCCCUUUCUCUAUUUACUAAAAUUUUACUUUAAAAAUUAUAUUAUGGUAGAAGAGAAUAAAGGAUGAAUAUAUUGACUCUUACUUUGUUUGAGUUGACUUUACAUUUUAAUUCUCAUUGGAUCUUUUUAAACCUAAUUAUUAUUUUUGUAAUUUCCUUGAUGCUUUUGGAGGGAGGAUAAGUAUAGGGUAUAUAAUAAAGGGCUAUUAAAUGCUUAACCCAGUGCCGUCGAGUUAAAUGCUUAGGGAAUGGUUUUUGUUGACUGCGUUUUCUCUAACUGUAUUGCUAGUAAAAUAACUUUUUUGACCCUGUUCAGAACUGAGAUUUUUUUUUCUAAAAUAUGAGUUUUUCUUCUUCUUUUUGUAAAUAGAAUAAAAACAGGAGCAGUACUUCAGAGUAAUAAUUUCUGAACAUGAAUGUCUAUGGCUCAAGACUUUUGAAUGUUGGGCACCAAUGGUUUAAAGUGGAACAGCUUUCUUUAAAUCAUUACCCCAUGAUAUCGGCUUAUGUUGCUACUUUCUCCUAUGGGGGAGUACAGAAUAAUACCAGUUGUUGAAGUAUUAAAUCUUCUUUAAACUUUGAUUAUUUGAAGUUCUACUGCACAUGACUAAUUUAAUUUUUGGAAUAUUUACUGAAUGUCAACAUAGUGCUUAGUAUGAAAAACGUAGCCUUUACUGGGCUUAGUCUGUAAGGGAAACAUACAGGUAAGCCAUGUUUUAUUAGUAAAUAUUAUUUGAGCACCUAAUGUGUGCCAGACUCUGUUCUGAGGCAUGUGAUAUCAAGGAUAAAUCAGGUAUCACUCCUACCCCCUCGGAACGCCCAGUCUUGUGAGUCAGAUAAAUAAGCCGGUUAUUAUGGGACAUGGCUAUGCAUGCCAUGCGGAGGCUCACCUGGGAGAUUCUGGGAGCCCAGGCCUGGGAAUCCAAGUUGGAUGGAGGGGAGGCGUCUGAUGAGUGACAGGCACACAGAAAAUCAGUUUCAAGGGUAUUCUAGAUUGAGGAACAUUGGAUGGGAAGUUGCAGAGACAAAAAUGUUGUGACCUAUUUGAGGAAUUACAAAGAGUUAAAGCUACAGCAGUGUUUCUCAAAGUGUGUUCCUCUGUCAGACUCACCUGGGAGUGAUUCCUACUCUCCCCCACUCCACAAGAUGAUUCCGAGCUUCCAGGUGAUUUCUAAACUUAUUAAAAUUUGAGAAACACUGGGCUAGAGUUAAUAAGCAUAAAGGAAAAACAAAAAUUAUAGUGUGAUAUAUUCUACAUUUAAGGCGUAUAUUAAGUUUAUGAUUAAAUGUGUUUGUAUAGACUUUCAGACAUUUUCAUUUAACACCUGUUAAUUCCCCUAUCCUAAGUGUUUUUUUGGAGGGACGAUGGGUGGAGGAAGGGAAGGGAUGUUACUGUAAAUCUUGUCUCUUUAUCCCCAGAUGAUUCUAAAGACAAUUCAUCAGUCUGUUAAUCUCUUGUUUAUUGAAUUUUUUUUUUUUUUUUUUU